CCUACGGGAGGCAGCAGUGAGGAAUUUUGCGCAAUAGGGGAAACCCUGACGCAGCAACGCCGCGUGAGUGAAGAAGGCCCUCGGGUCGUAAAGCUCUGUCAAGUGGGAAAAAAGCUUACUGGUAAAUAGCCAGCAAGACUGAUGGUACCAUUGAAGGAAGCACCGGCUAACUCCGUGCCAGCAGCCGCGGUAAUACGGAGGGUGCAAGCGUUGUUCGGAAUUACUGGGCGUAAAGGGCGUGUAGGCGGUGUGGUAAGUCAGAUGUGAAAGCCCUGGGCUUAACCCAGGAAGUGCAUUUGAAACUGCCAUGCUUGAGUAUGGGAGAGGAGAGUGGAAUUCCCAGUGUAGAGGUGAAAUGCGUAGAGAUGCGGAGGAACACCGAUGGCGAAGGCAGCCCCCUGGGCCAACACUGACGCUCAGGCACGAAAGCGUGGGGAGCAAACAGGAUUAGAUACCCUGGUAGUCCACGCCCUAAACGAUGUCAACUGGGUGUUGGGGGAGCGAUCCCUUGGUACCGUAGCUAACGCGUGAAGUUGACCGCCUGGGGAGUACGGCCGCAAGGUUAAAACUCAAAGGAAUUGACGG
Molecule: ribosomal RNA, 585 nt
Filed under: uncultured bacterium
Lineage: Bacteria
Description: bacterial SSU rRNA
Rfam family: Bacterial small subunit ribosomal RNA
Source: RNAcentral